UAUAGAUAACCUGCCCUCUAGAAAGGAAUAACAGUUGGAAACGACUGCUAAUGCCCUAUAUGCCUUUAAUACAUAAGUAUGCAAGGGAAACGCUUUAGUGCUAGAGGAUGGGUCUGUAUGGUAUCAGUUAGUUGGUGAGGUAAUGGCUCACCAAGACUAUGACGCCUAACUGGUUUGAGAGGAUGAUCAGUCACACUGGAACUGAGACACGGUCCAGACUCCUACGGGAGGCAGCAGUGGGGAAUAUUGCACAAUGGACGAAAGUCUGAUGCAGCAACGCCGCGUGGAGGAUGACACAUUUCGGUGCGUAAACUCCUUUUAUAUAGGAAGAUAAUGACGGUACUAUAUGAAUAAGCACCGGCUAACUCCGUGCCAGCAGCCGCGGUAAUACGGAGGGUGCAAGCGUUACUCGGAAUCACUGGGCGUAAAGAGCGUGUAGGCGGAUAUAUAAGUCAGAAGUGAAAUCCAAUAGCUUAACUAUUGAACCGCUUUUGAAACUGUGUAUCUAGAAUGUGGGAGAGGUAGAUGGAAUUUCUGGUGUAGGGGUAAAAUCCGUAGAGAUCAGAAGGAAUACCGAUUGCGAAGGCGAUCUACUGGAACAUUAUUGACGCUGAGACGCGAAAGCGUGGGGAGCAAACAGGAUUAGAUACCCUGGUAGUCCACGCCCUAAACGAUGCACACUAGUUGUUGUGAGGCUAGACCUUGCAGUAAUGCAGUUAACACAUUAAGUGUGCCGCCUGGGGGAGUACGGUCGCAAGAUUAAAACUCAAAGGAAUAGACGGGGACCCGCACAAGCGGUGGAGCAUGUGGUUUAAUUCGACGAUACACGAAGAACCUUACCUGACUUGACAUAGU
Molecule: ribosomal RNA, 855 nt
Filed under: uncultured bacterium
Lineage: Bacteria
Description: bacterial SSU rRNA
Rfam family: Bacterial small subunit ribosomal RNA
Source: RNAcentral